AGGGAACCCGGUGCGAGGCCGGGACUGACGCGCAGCGGUAUGGGUGACGGACGGGGCUCCUGUCGAGAGGCAGGCCACUGGACCAGCGACAUCGGUCCGGGAAGGUGCUCCGCGCCGGGUGAUCCCGAGUCCGAAGACCU
This 140-nucleotide unclassified non-coding RNA is filed under the name Nocardioides sp. AX2bis. Lineage: Bacteria; Bacillati; Actinomycetota; Actinomycetes; Propionibacteriales; Nocardioidaceae. The record is from RNAcentral.